AAUCGCCCAUUUUGAUUUUCAGGUCGAGUUUCCGGAGAAAAAGUUUGGGUAGGUAUUUGCAAUUUUGUUAAAGAAUGGUCGUCACUGACAGCAAAGCAGAAAAAAGGUUUCCGCAGACUUUACCAACAAGCAUGCCAUUGUAAAAUAACGAAGAAUUAUAUACACAACAAUAACACCACAGUCAGGCCACAGUGUUAUUGGGAAACUUGGAAAAGCGUAAAAUAUGACUGUCAAAAUUUAUAUUCUAUCUGCGCACCUUCCUCUCAUCACAUGAAAGAAUGUGUUUGGUUGAAAAGCAGAGCCUAUCGUCACUGUAUGAAAGAAAAAAGAGAUUUUCUCUACAGAGAACCUUAAAUUUAUCUUAACAGAUUCAUCGUCGAUACUCUUUCGGAGGUAUCAUAAUGAGCUUUGCCACUAGGUGGCAGAAUUAUGCUCGAGUCUCAGUAGUAGGACGAAACUCUCUCUCUCGAAGUUUAUCAUUUAAAAUAUUUUAAGAGUACAAUUUUAUGACAUCGUAGAUUAGGAGAGUGAAAACACGAUUUUUAAAUGUAGAUCGGCCAAAAAAAAAUAUAAAUUUAUCCAUCAGAAUUUACAUUAAAAUAUAUAUUAUGUUUUUCAAAUUUCUGCUGAUAAAGUAGGCAUUAUGUAUUUUAUGACACGUUCUGAUAAAUUAUGUCUGCGGUGAUUAAUUGCCAAUAUUUUUAAAUGUCAAUUUUGAUAUAAAUGCACCCUGGUUCAUCGCGUUCUUUUGUAAAUUAGAAAUAUGUUUAAAUGUAUGUAUUCAUUGUAGUAUUUAAAUUGUGUUUGUGAAGAACCUGUAUACUGGUCUCCAACGCGUAUAGUUUUGUAAUUAGGUCUACACUAGUAUUCAAGUGUAGUUGAUGGACCAAUAAAAACGUACAAAUGUAAUUUA
RNAcentral lists this long non-coding RNA (913 nucleotides) under Centruroides sculpturatus (bark scorpion). Its description in RNAcentral is "uncharacterized LOC111638865". Lineage: Eukaryota; Metazoa; Arthropoda; Arachnida; Scorpiones; Buthidae. The record is from RNAcentral.